AGUGGAAUUGCUAGGUCAUAAGGUAAUGUUUAAUAUGGAACUGCUAGACUGAUUUCUAAAGUGACUGCAUCAUUCUGUAUUCCCAGUAGUAAU
This 93-nucleotide microRNA precursor is filed under the name Marmota monax (woodchuck). The record is from RNAcentral. Lineage: Eukaryota; Metazoa; Chordata; Mammalia; Rodentia; Sciuridae.